This 323-nucleotide ribosomal RNA is filed under the name uncultured eukaryote. Its description in RNAcentral is "partial 18S ribosomal RNA". It matches the Rfam family "Eukaryotic small subunit ribosomal RNA", at positions 1470 to 1796 of the family's 1831-position model. The record is from RNAcentral.
CCCUUAGAUGUUCUGGGCCGCACGCGUGCUACACUGAACGGUUCAAUGGGUAAGGUAGUGCGAAAGCAUGACCUAAUCUCGAAAUCCGUUCGUGCUGGGGAUAGAAGCUUGCAAUUAUCCUUCUUGAACGAGGAAUACCUUGUAAGCGUGAGUCAUCAUCUCACGCUGAAUACGUCCCUGCCCUUUGUACACACCGCCCGUCGCUCCUACCGAUUGAGUGUUCCGGUGAGGCUUUGGGAGAAUGGCCUCAACAUGAGUUUAUCGUGUUUUGUCGUUUGAACUUAGUCAAACCUUAUCGCUUAGAGGAAGGAGAAGUCGUAACA